GGCGGUAUGGCGCAGAUUGGCAGCGCGCGGGGGUGCGCUCUCGUCCAUUCACCCCGAAGACACGCAACACUUGUUCGAUCCAAGUUGUAGCUA
Molecule: non-coding RNA, 93 nt
Organism: Tephrocybe rancida
Lineage: Eukaryota; Fungi; Basidiomycota; Agaricomycetes; Agaricales; Lyophyllaceae
Source: the annotation of a GenBank genome assembly